AACGCACAUUGCACUUCCGGGAUAUGCCCGGGAGUAUGCUUAUUUGAGUGUCUGCAAACCCCACUCAACCAAAAUAUAUUGUAUUUUGUGUUGGACUCUGGGAUUGGGAGAAUUUACUCUCCCUCUCCUGAAAUGCAGGGCUUUGCGAGAUGAUACACCAAACGCAAUAUGACGCCCGCUAGGUAAUGUUGUUGUAAUGACAGCUUUAAUAUUUGCGCGGUGGAAUUUCGCGGUCGUCUCGAAAUGGCAAAUCGUUUACAAUGAUAUAAUCUUUGAUUGUAAACACAUAAAACCUCCAAUCGGAUCUCAAAUUAAGUAAGAAGACCUGCCGAAUUUAA
RNAcentral lists this unclassified non-coding RNA (338 nucleotides) under uncultured fungus. Its description in RNAcentral is "partial contains 5.8S rRNA and ITS2". Lineage: Eukaryota; Fungi. The record is from RNAcentral.